UACAGAGACGGCAAGCGUUGUUCGGAUUUACUGGGCGUAAAGGGUCCGCAGGUGGCCAAGCAAGUCUGAUGUGAAAUCCCGCAGCUUAACUGUGGAACUGCAUCGGAAACUACUUGGCUGGAGGAUGGUAGAGGAGUCUGGAAUUCUUGGUGUAGCGGUGAAAUGCGUAGAUAUCAAGAGGAACACCGGUGGCGAAGGCGAGACUCUGGCCCAUUCCUGACACUCAUGGACGAAAGCGUGGGGAGCAAACGGG
RNAcentral lists this ribosomal RNA (253 nucleotides) under uncultured bacterium. RNAcentral's name for it is "partial 16S ribosomal RNA". It matches the Rfam family "Bacterial small subunit ribosomal RNA", at positions 524 to 776 of the family's 1533-position model. The record is from RNAcentral.